CAUGGAGGGUGAGAAUCCCGUCCGGCUGACCUUCAGGACGUUUUACGAUACGCUCUCUAAGAGUCGAGUUGUUUGGGAUUGCAGCUCAAAAUGGGAGGUAAAUUUCUCCUAAGGCUAAAUAUCGGCGAGAGACCGAUAGCGAACAAGUACCGUGAGGGAAAGAUGAAAAGAACUUUGAAAAGAGAGUAAAAUAGUACGUGAAAUUGUUGAAAGGGAAACGAUUGAAGUCAGUCGUACCGACGAGAAAUCAACUUAUCGUGUGCGAACUUGUGGGCGUGCGUGAGUUUCGGCCUCGCUGUUUGCAUGUUUGUGCGUUUUGGGUGUACUUUUUCGUAUGGUAGGCCAACGUCAGUUUCGAUUAUCAUAAAAUGACCGGCGGAAUGUAGCUUCGAUUUCGGUUGAAGUGUUAUAGCCUCUGGUAGAUGUGGUGAUUGAGACUGAGGAUUGCAACGAAUACCCUUUGGGCUAUCCGUCUGGCCUCUGAAAGUUGCUCAGGUGCCGAAAGCGUGCUUACGGUCAUCUAAGAUAACGUUCAACAGGUUAGAACGUGAUUACAUUCGUUAAGGAUGUUGACGUAAUGG
RNAcentral lists this ribosomal RNA (581 nucleotides) under uncultured Glomus. RNAcentral's name for it is "eukaryotic LSU rRNA". It matches the Rfam family "Eukaryotic large subunit ribosomal RNA", at positions 204 to 637 of the family's 3401-position model. The record is from RNAcentral. Lineage: Eukaryota; Fungi; Glomeromycota; Glomeromycetes; Glomerales; Glomeraceae.